This 253-nucleotide ribosomal RNA is filed under the name uncultured bacterium. RNAcentral's name for it is "partial 16S ribosomal RNA". It matches the Rfam family "Bacterial small subunit ribosomal RNA", at positions 524 to 776 of the family's 1533-position model. The record is from RNAcentral.
GACGGAGGAUGCAAGCGCUAUCCGGAAUUAUUGGGCGUAAAGCGUUCGCAGGUGGCUGUUCAAGUCUGCUGUCAAAGACCGGGGCUUAACCCCAGAAAGGCAGUGGAAGCUGAACGGCUGGAGUGGAGUAUGGGUAGAGGGAAUUCCCAGUGUAGCGGUGAAAUGCGUAGAGAUUGGGAAGAACACCGGUGGCGAAAGCGCUCUGCUGGACUGCAACUGACACUGAGGGACGAAAGCUAGGGGAGCGAAAGGG